CCUACGGGAGGCUGCAGUGAGGAAUAUUGGUCAAUGGCCGGAAGGCUGAACCAGCCAAGUCGCGUGAGGGACGACUGCCCUCUGGGUUGUAAACCUCUUUUAUAAGGGAAGAAUAAAUGCUACGUGUAGCCUGAUGCCUGUACCUUAUGAAUAAGCAUCGGCUAACUCCGUGCCAGCAGCCGCGGUAAUAGGGAGGAUGCGAGCGUUAUCCGGAUUUAUUGGGGUAAAAGGGUGCGUAGGCGGUUUUUUAAGUUAGUGGUAAAACGUCGGGGCUUCACCUUGAUUUGCCAUUAAUACUGUAAGACUCGAGUUCAGACGAGGUAGGCGGAAUAAGUUAAGUAGCGGUGAAAUGCUUAGAUAUAACUUAGAACUCCGAUAGCGAAGGCAGCUUACCAGACUGCGACUGACGCUGAAGCACGAGAGCGUGGGUAGCGAACAGGAUUAGAUACCCCAGUAGUC
RNAcentral lists this ribosomal RNA (459 nucleotides) under uncultured bacterium. RNAcentral's name for it is "partial 16S ribosomal RNA". It matches the Rfam family "Bacterial small subunit ribosomal RNA", at positions 338 to 795 of the family's 1533-position model. The record is from RNAcentral.